RNAcentral lists this antisense RNA (75 nucleotides) under Actinacidiphila glaucinigra. Its description in RNAcentral is "Streptomyces glauciniger ASpks TB sRNA". It matches the Rfam family "ASpks TB sRNA". Lineage: Bacteria; Bacillati; Actinomycetota; Actinomycetes; Kitasatosporales; Streptomycetaceae. The record is from Rfam by way of RNAcentral.
CUUGACGGAGCCGAGCAGCAGCGGCUGCUCGGGCGAACGCUCCUGCCCGUAGGUGGCCAGCAGCGCCUGCGCCUC